Molecule: unclassified non-coding RNA, 217 nt
Filed under: plant metagenome
Description: partial contains small subunit ribosomal RNA, internal transcribed spacer 1, and 5.8S ribosomal RNA
Source: RNAcentral
UCUCCGUAGGUGAACCUGCGGAGGGAUCAUUACAAGUGACCCCGGUCUUACCACCGGGAUGUUCAUAACCCUUUGUUGUCCGACUCUGUUGCCUCCGGGGCGACCCUGCCUUCGGGCGGGGGCUCCGGGUGGACACUUCAAACUCUUGCGUAACUUUGCAGUCUGAGUAAACUUAAUUAAUAAAUUAAAACUUUUAACAACGGAUCUCUUGGCUCUA